RNAcentral lists this ribosomal RNA (383 nucleotides) under uncultured eukaryote. RNAcentral describes it as "partial 18S ribosomal RNA". It matches the Rfam family "Eukaryotic small subunit ribosomal RNA", at positions 592 to 976 of the family's 1831-position model. The record is from RNAcentral.
CAAUAGCGUAUAUUAAAGUUGUUGCAGUUAAAAAGCUCGUAGUUGGAUUUCUGGUGGGAGCGAUCGGUCUGGCGCUUAGCGCGAGUACUUGCAUCGUCUCCGGCCAUCCUUGGGGAGAGUCUGUCUGGCAUUAAGUUGUCGGGCAGAGGAUCCUCAUCGUUUACUGUGAAAAAAUUAGAGUGUUCAAAGCAGGCUUAUGCCGUUGAAUAUAUUAGCAUGGAAUAAUAAGAUAGGACUUUGGUACUAUUUUGUUGGUUUGCGCACCAAAGUAAUGAGUAAUAGGGACAGUUGGGGGUAUUCGUAUUCCGUUGUCAGAGGUGAAAUUCUUGGAUUUACGGAAGACGAACUACUGCGAAAGCAUUUACCAAGGAUGUUUUCAUUAA